Molecule: ribosomal RNA, 494 nt
Filed under: uncultured bacterium
Lineage: Bacteria
Description: partial 16S ribosomal RNA
Rfam family: Bacterial small subunit ribosomal RNA
Source: RNAcentral
GACGAACGCUGGCGGCGUGCUUAACACAUGCAAGUCGAACGGAAAGGCCUGCUUUCCCUUGUGGAUUGCGGGUACUCGAGUGGCGAACGGGUGAGUAACACGUGAGUGAUCUGCCCCCAACUUGGGUAUAAGCCUGGGAAACUGGGUCUAAUUCCCGAUAGGACUGCAGGGUGGUGCCUGUGGUGGAAAACGAUUUUCUAGUGGUUGGGGAUGAGCUCGCGGCCUAUCAGCUUGUUGGUGGGGUAAUGGCCUACCAAGGCGGCGACGGGUAGCCGGCCUGGGAGGGUGGACGGCCACAUUGGGACUGAGAUACGGCCCAGAAUCCUACGGGAGGCAGCAGUGGGGAAUAUUGCACGAUGGGCGGAAGCCUGAUGCAGCGACGCCGCGUGGGGGAUGACGGCCUUCGGGUUGUAAACUCCUUUCGACAGCGAGGAAGCCACCUGGUUGGAAGGGUGGUGACGGUAGUGGUAGAAGAAGCACCGGCUAACUACGUG